UACGUAGGUGACCAGCGUUGUCCGGAUUUACUGGGCGUAAAGAGCGCGCAGGCGGUCGUUCAAGUCGAGUGUGAAAGCCCCCGGCUCAACUGGGGAGGGUCACUCGAUACUGAUCGACUGGAAGGCAGGAGAGGGAAGCGGAAUUCCCGGUGUAGUGGUGAAAUGCGUAGAUAUCUGGAGGAACACCGGUGGCGAAGGCGGCAUCCUGGACCGGCAUUGACGCUGAGGCGCGAAAGCCAGGGGAGCAAACGGG
This 253-nucleotide ribosomal RNA is filed under the name uncultured bacterium. RNAcentral's name for it is "partial 16S ribosomal RNA". It matches the Rfam family "Bacterial small subunit ribosomal RNA", at positions 524 to 776 of the family's 1533-position model. The record is from RNAcentral.